GGGGUUGUGGCUCAGUGGUAGAGCGCUUGCCUAGCAUGCAUGAGGCACUGGGUUCGAUCCCUGGCACCA
RNAcentral lists this transfer RNA (69 nucleotides) under Ictidomys tridecemlineatus (thirteen-lined ground squirrel). RNAcentral describes it as "Spermophilus tridecemlineatus (thirteen-lined ground squirrel) tRNA". It matches the Rfam family "tRNA". From Rfam's summary of the family: Transfer RNA (tRNA) molecules are approximately 80 nucleotides in length. Their secondary structure includes four short double-helical elements and three loops (D, anti-codon, and T loops). Further hydrogen bonds mediate the characteristic L-shaped molecular structure. tRNAs have two regions of fundamental functional importance: the anti-codon, which is responsible for specific mRNA codon recognition, and the 3' end, to which the tRNAs corresponding amino acid is attached (by aminoacyl-tRNA synthetases). tRNAs cope with the degeneracy of the genetic code in two manners: having more than one tRNA (with a specific anti-codon) for a particular amino acid; and 'wobble' base-pairing, i.e. permitting non-standard base-pairing at the 3rd anti-codon position. The record is from Rfam by way of RNAcentral. Lineage: Eukaryota; Metazoa; Chordata; Mammalia; Rodentia; Sciuridae.